Lolium rigidum is the source of this 807-nucleotide long non-coding RNA. RefSeq lists it as uncharacterized. The transcript has 3 exons. The record is from RefSeq and is a predicted model, not a curated record. Lineage: Eukaryota; Viridiplantae; Streptophyta; Magnoliopsida; Poales; Poaceae.
UUUCCCCAUGACCACACCGUGCCCCUACGCGCGUCCUCUUCAUUCCCCAACAGCAGGCGGCCGCGCCAUGGCAUCAAGGCGGGGCGCGCAUCGAUCUACGUGCGGUGCGACCUCGAGAGGCAGCUGGGAUGGUGGCGACGCCGUCGGCAUGGAGAUGGGCCAGCAAGCAGGGACAGGGGAGGUCACGUACAGCCACCUCGACCACAGAUCCAUCCGCGACCGGCUACCGGCGACCAACCACCAGCAGCUAGAAACGUCGGUGGGCAGUUGUGGCGCCUGACCGCAUAUACUCCUCUACAUCCUCUUUCUUUCUCUGGCCUCUCUUCUUCUGGAUGGGGCAGGGGAGGGUGCUGACCUUCGCUGGCGCGCCAUUGGCUACACGACGACAUGGGCAUCCCUACCAGCCUCGGGUUGUAGAAGGAGCGGCGGGGGUCGGGGUGAUGAGAACAGCAGCGCGCCAUUCCCUGACCACCGGCAACCAGUUCUGAGGAGGACAAAAAGCAAGUCAGUCCUCACAUCUGAGCCUUCUUUUCCUAAUUUGCUUUCCGGAUACGUCACUAGGCAUAGUCGUGAAUUUUACAGGGGAGUGAAGCAUACCAGCUGCAUGUUUCCUAGGGAUUCUAUAUGGUGCUGCUGGUAGAUGAGUCAUUCCUGGAUGUUACCAAGCCUUGUGGAAAACCUCAGCAUACUAUGGCACCAGAGCUUCCAUUGAUUUUACUAUUUUGCCUGCUUAAAGUCUGUGUUAUGUGUUCAUCAGGAUACAUCUUGCACCGACGAGAUCAGAAGGUCCAGGUCAUUGUUUUGGUA